GAUUAACGUUGGCAGUGUGCCUAACACAUGCAAGUCGAGCGAUAUAGCGGCAGACGAGAGAGUAAUAACAAGGAACUUACCCCUUAGCGGAGGAUAGCCCACCGAAAGGUGGGGGUAAUCCUGCAUAAUGUCGAGAGACCAAAGCCUUCGGGCACUAAGGGAGAGGCCUUGUUCCUAUCAGCUAGUUGGCGGGGUAAUAGCCCACCAAGGCGAUGACGGGUAGCUGGCCUGAGAGGGUGACCAGCCUCGAUGGGACUGAGACACGGCCCAUACUCCUACGGGAGGCAGCAGUUGGGGAUUUUGCACAAUGGGCGCAAGCCUGAUGCAGCAACACUGCGUGAAGGAUGAAGGUUUUCGGAUCGUAAACUUCUUUUGUGUGGGAAUAAUCUUGAAGGUACCACACGAAUAAGCACCGGCUAACUACGUG
This 427-nucleotide ribosomal RNA is filed under the name uncultured bacterium. RNAcentral's name for it is "bacterial SSU rRNA". It matches the Rfam family "Bacterial small subunit ribosomal RNA", at positions 28 to 507 of the family's 1533-position model. The record is from RNAcentral.